GGUCGUAUGGAGUAGUGGUUAACUUAGGAGAUUUUGACCCGCAAGCGCUCCUUGGGCGCUUUGCACCCCGAUUUCUCUUGCCCCGGGUUCGAAUCCCGGUACGACCC
This 107-nucleotide transfer RNA is filed under the name Sporisorium scitamineum. RNAcentral describes it as "transfer RNA-Gln(TTG)". It matches the Rfam family "tRNA". Rfam says of the family: Transfer RNA (tRNA) molecules are approximately 80 nucleotides in length. The record is from RNAcentral. Lineage: Eukaryota; Fungi; Basidiomycota; Ustilaginomycetes; Ustilaginales; Ustilaginaceae.